AAAUGGACUCUCAGCAACGGAUAUCUUGGCUCUU
Molecule: ribosomal RNA, 34 nt
Filed under: Frullania chevalieri
Lineage: Eukaryota; Viridiplantae; Streptophyta; Jungermanniopsida; Porellales; Frullaniaceae
Description: partial 5.8S ribosomal RNA
Source: RNAcentral